CAGAAGAAGCACCGGCUAACUCCGUGCCAGCAGCCGCGGUAAUACGGAGGGUCCAAGCGUUAAUCGGAAUUACUGGGCGUAAAGCGCGCGCAGGCGGUUUGUUAAGUGAGAUGUGAAAUCCCCGGGCUCAACCUGGGAAUUGCAUUUUAAACUGGCAACCUAGAGUCUUGUAGAGGGGGGUAGAAUUUCAGGUGUAGCGGUGAAAUGCGUAGAGAUCUGAAGGAAUACCGGUGGCGAAGGCGGCCCCCUGGACAAAGACUGACGCUCAUGCGCGAAAGCGUGGGGAGCAAACAGGAUUAGAUACCCUGGUAGUCCACGCCGUAAACGAUGUCUACU
This 336-nucleotide ribosomal RNA is filed under the name uncultured Shewanella sp. RNAcentral describes it as "bacterial SSU rRNA". It matches the Rfam family "Bacterial small subunit ribosomal RNA", at positions 482 to 817 of the family's 1533-position model. Lineage: Bacteria; Pseudomonadati; Pseudomonadota; Gammaproteobacteria; Alteromonadales; Shewanellaceae. The record is from RNAcentral.